RNAcentral lists this transfer RNA (68 nucleotides) under Marmota monax (woodchuck). Its description in RNAcentral is "tRNA.Ala". The record is from RNAcentral. Lineage: Eukaryota; Metazoa; Chordata; Mammalia; Rodentia; Sciuridae.
GGAAUGUGGUUCAAUGGUAAAGUGAUUGCCUAGCAUGCUAGAGGACCUGGGUUCAAUCCCCAGCACCA